AGUGAACGCUGGCGGUAGGCCUAACACAUGCAAGUCGAACGGCAGCACAGUAAGAGCUUGCUCUUACGGGUGGCGAGUGGCGGACGGGUGAGGAAUACAUCGGAAUCUACUUUUUCGUGGGGGAUAACGUAGGGAAACUUACGCUAAUACCGCAUACGACCUACGGGUGAAAGCAGGGGAUCUUCCGACCUUGCGCGAUUGAAUGCGCCGAUGUCGGAUUAGCUAGUUGGCGGGGUAAAGGCCCACCAAGGCGACGAUCCGUAGCUGGUCUGAGAGGAUGCUCAGCCACACUGGAACUGAGACACGGUCCAGACUCCUACGGGAGGCAGCAGUGGGGAAUAUUGGACAAUGGGCGCAAGCCUGAUCCAGCCAUACCGCGUGGGUGAAGAAGGCCUUCGGGUUGUAAAGCCCUUUUGUUGGGAAAGAAAAGCAGCAGGUUAAUACCCCGCUGUUCUGACGGUACCCAAAGAAUAAGCACCGGCUAACUUCGUG
RNAcentral lists this ribosomal RNA (492 nucleotides) under uncultured bacterium. Its description in RNAcentral is "partial 16S ribosomal RNA". It matches the Rfam family "Bacterial small subunit ribosomal RNA", at positions 29 to 507 of the family's 1533-position model. The record is from RNAcentral.